CGGAUGAACGCUAGCGGCAGGCCUAACACAUGCAAGUCGAGGGGCAUCAUGGUCUUCGGAUCGAUGGCGACCGGCAAACGGGUGAGGAACACGUACGCAACUUACCCUUAUCAUGGGGAUAGCCCGGAGAAAUCCGGAUUAAUACCCGAUAGUAUAAUUUGAAGGCAUCUUUAGAUUAUUAAAGAAAUUCGGAUAAGGAUGGGCGUGCGUAAGAUUAGGUAGUUGGUGGGGUAAAGGCCCACCAAGCCAACGAUCUUUAGCUGAUGUGAGAGCAUGAUCAGCCACACGGGCACUGAGACACGGGUCCGACUCCUACGGGAGGCAGCAGUGAGGAAUAUUGGUCAAUGGACGGAAGGCUGAACCAGCCAAGUAGCGUGCAGGAUGACUGCCUUAUGGGUUGUAAACUGCUUUUUUACGGGAAUAAUUAUGAUCACGUGUGAUUAUUUGCAUGUACCGUAAGAAUAAGGAUCGGCUAACUCCGUG
This 483-nucleotide ribosomal RNA is filed under the name uncultured bacterium. RNAcentral's name for it is "bacterial SSU rRNA". It matches the Rfam family "Bacterial small subunit ribosomal RNA", at positions 27 to 507 of the family's 1533-position model. The record is from RNAcentral.